This 497-nucleotide ribosomal RNA is filed under the name uncultured bacterium. RNAcentral describes it as "partial 16S ribosomal RNA". It matches the Rfam family "Bacterial small subunit ribosomal RNA", at positions 28 to 507 of the family's 1533-position model. The record is from RNAcentral.
GAUGAACGCUGGCGGCUUGCCUAAUACAUGCAAGUCGAGCGAACAGACGAGGAGCUUGCUCCUCUGACGUUAGCGGCGGACGGGUGAGUAACACGUGGAUAAGCUACCUAUAAGACUGGGAUAACUUCGGGAAACCGGAGCUAAUACCGGAUAAUAUAUUGAACCGCAUGGUUCAAUAGUGAAAGACGGUUUUGCUGUCACUUAUAGAUGGAUCAGCGCCGCAUUAGCUAGUUGGUAAGGUAACGGCUUACCAAGGCGACGAUGCGUAGCCGACCUGAGAGGGUGAGAGGCCAGACUGGAACUGAGACACGGUCCAGACUACUACGGGAAGUAGCAGCAGGGACUACUGCGCAAUGGGCGAAAGCCUGACGGAGCAAAGACGCAUGAGUGAUGAAGGUAUUCGGAUCGUAAAACUCUGUUAUUCGGGAAGAAUAAAUGUGUAAGUACCUAUGCACGUCUUGACGGUACCCAACAAGAAAGCCACGGCUAACUACGUG